AUGCCCUGCCGGUGUAAGCUAAACGUAGAUGGAGCACAGUGGGUGGUCACUAAAUAUUUUGACGAGCACAACCACAAACUCAUAAAUAAGUUUGACCUGGUAAAAUUUCUGACCGCCCAUAGACACACCCUCGAGAAGAAAUUCAUAAAGCUGCUACAUGAUUGUAACGUCGGUCCAUCAAGAAUGGUCCAGAUACUAUCACUCAUCCACAGCAAAAAAGAGACUCUGAGUAGCAUGCCCUACAUACCAGCUGACGUCACAAACCUAAAGGCAAAGUACCAUAGAGAGAGCAAGUUGGCUGACAUAGAGGCCACAAUGGCCUACUUCGAUGAGAAAGCGAAGGAAGAUCUAGAUUUCUUCUACAUGAUAAGGUUGGACGAUGAGGACCGUGUCAGGAACAUAUAUUGGGUGGAUGGUGCUGCAAGAAGAGCCUACAAACAUUUCCGAGAUUGCAUUUCAUUCGACGCGACAGAUCUCACUAAUAUGUACAAGAUGCCAUGCGCUCCAUUCAUAGGAAUAAAUAACCACAACAUGGAUGGGUACAUUUGGCUGUUCAAGACCUUCUUGGAGUGCAUGGAUGGACUUGCUCCGAUGAACAUAAUAAUAGACCAGGAUUUUAGCAUGCGUGCAUGCAUAGAGGAGGUCUUUCCGUUGGCAGUGCACAGGCACUGCAGGUGGCCAUUAUAAAGAAGGCUGAGGCAGUGCUUCUUCCCGUUUCUGCAGACUACGCAGCGCAGCGAGGGGUUCAAUGCUGUUUUGAAGCGGUACAACGGCAUUGUGUGUUGUCACAUACUAAAAGUAAUGGACAUGAACGUGGUGACAUGGAUGCCCCGCCAUUUCAUAAGGCGGCAAUGGACUUGGGACGCUGAUGACGCGUUGGCGCCACAGACAACAAAUGCAGUUCUGGCUGUGCAUGACGAGAGACCGGAGUCAACCAUGGAAGCCAUGAGGCAUGUUGUGUUGACAAAGAAGUAUGCUGAGCUAAUUGAUGAAGCGUGCAAGAGUGAUGAGACAGCGAGAGUCACAGAAAAACACAGGAAGGCCCUGAAAAGAGAGCUUGAUGAGAUCAAGAAGAGGAAAGCUGAGGAAGCCUUACACAGGUUCCCCCGCACAUCAAGUGUGCCUUUGUCCACGAGGCCAUCAUCUGAAAACUCGAAGAUAGGAUCUGGAACAGCAAGCACACAAACCCAGGCCAGGAACCUGCCCCGUUCCAUCACAAAGGGGCGUCCAAAAGAGAUAAGAUACAAAUUGGGAUUGGAGAUUCAAGCAAAACACAAGAAAACAAAGAAAGGGACGGGCAAUCUGUAA
Molecule: ribosomal RNA, 1308 nt
Filed under: Triticum aestivum (bread wheat)
Lineage: Eukaryota; Viridiplantae; Streptophyta; Magnoliopsida; Poales; Poaceae
Description: partial small subunit ribosomal RNA
Source: RNAcentral